UUGGAGGGCAAGUCUGGUGCCAGCAGCCGCGGUAAUUCCAGCUCCAAUAGCGUAUAUUAAAGUUGUUGCAGUUAAAAAGCUCGUAGUUGAAUUUCGGGGUUAGUAGGUUGGUCAUGCCACUGGUAUGUACUGGUCUCACUGAUUCCUCCUUCCUGAUGAGCCGUAAUGCCAUUAAUUUGGUGUUGCGAGGAAUCUGGACUGUUACUUUGAAAAAAUUAGAGUGUUUAAAGCAAGCUAACGCUUGAAUACAUUAGCAUGGAAUAAUGAAAUAGGACGUUCGAUCCUAUUUUGUUGGUUUCUAGGAUUGACGUAAUGAUUAAUAGGGAUAGUUGGGGGCAUUAGUAUUCAAUUGUCAGAGGUGAAAUUCUCGGAUUUAUUGAAGACUAACUACUGCGAAAGCAUUUGCCAAGGAUGUUUUCAUUAAUCAAGAACGAAAGUUAGGGGAUCGAAGACGAUCAGAUACCGUCGUAGUCUUAACCAUAAACUAUGCCGACUAGGGAUCGGAUGAUGUUAAUUUUUUAAUGACUCAUUCGGCGCCUUACGGGAAAC
RNAcentral lists this ribosomal RNA (549 nucleotides) under uncultured Glomeromycotina. RNAcentral describes it as "SSU rRNA". It matches the Rfam family "Eukaryotic small subunit ribosomal RNA", at positions 548 to 1098 of the family's 1831-position model. The record is from RNAcentral. Lineage: Eukaryota; Fungi; Glomeromycota.